UACGUAGGGGGCAAGCGUUGUCCGGAUUUAUUGGGCGUAAAGAGCUUGUAGGCGGCUCGUCGCGUCGGGUGUGAAAACUUGCGGCUUAACCGCAAGCCUGCACCCGAUACGGGCGGGCUAGAGUUCGGCAGGGGAGACUGGAAUUCCUGGUGUAGCGGUGGAAUGCGCAGAUAUCAGGAGGAACACCGGUGGCGAAGGCGGGUCUCUGGGCCGAUACUGACGCUGAGAAGCGAAAGCGUGGGGAGCGAACAGG
This 253-nucleotide ribosomal RNA is filed under the name uncultured bacterium. Its description in RNAcentral is "partial 16S ribosomal RNA". It matches the Rfam family "Bacterial small subunit ribosomal RNA", at positions 524 to 776 of the family's 1533-position model. The record is from RNAcentral.